UACAGAGGUCCCGAGCGUUGUUCGGAUUCACUGGGCGUAAAGGGUGCGUAGGCGGUCAGAUAAGUCUGAUGUGAAAUCUUCGAGCUCAACUCGGAAACUGCAUCGGAAACUAUCUGGCUAGAGGAUUGGAGGGGAGACUGGAAUUCUCGGUGUAGCAGUGAAAUGCGUAGAUAUCGAGAGGAACACCAGUGGCGAAGGCGAGUCUCUGGACAAUUCCUGACGCUGAGGCACGAAAGCUAGGGGAGCAAACAGG
Molecule: ribosomal RNA, 253 nt
Filed under: uncultured bacterium
Lineage: Bacteria
Description: partial 16S ribosomal RNA
Rfam family: Bacterial small subunit ribosomal RNA
Source: RNAcentral